Molecule: long non-coding RNA, 859 nt
Organism: Triticum dicoccoides
Lineage: Eukaryota; Viridiplantae; Streptophyta; Magnoliopsida; Poales; Poaceae
Exons: 3
Source: RefSeq, a predicted model, not a curated record
UGCUGGCGUGUGGUGGGCCGUCGGUUUUUUUUUCACGUCCAUGGCUGUUUGAAGAGCGAAUGACAAGUGGGGCUCGUUAUGUGUGGGUCAAAAGAAUGACGUGCCUUUCCUUCAAUUCUGCGUAACAAAAGCAAGAAACCCUAGACGGACGAGGGGUAAAAGGAAAAAGUAAAGCAGCCGCCUUAUCUCCUCGCUCGCUCCCUCCUCUCUCCCACGCCGCCCCGUCCCUCUCCCUGCUCGUCCCCUCAUCUCCUCUUUCCUCGAUGCCGGAUCCCCUGCUUGCCUCUCCGACCUAGGCCAGAGCCUCGCCGGCAGCUCCCCCAAGUCGGCGCCCGCUAGCUGCUGGUGUGGAGCCGAGCUUCUCUGACGGCGACGGCGACGGCGACAAGCUUGUCCAGGUCGUCAUGGCCGGCGACGACGAACGGGAGGGCGGAGGUGUUUCCAUGGCCACCUUUGCCGAGAGCUCGCACAUCUUCAACCCUCAGCCAUGUAUGUGCCUUCUUCUUUGCAUUUCCUUGUUCUAAUUCUUGGCAGUAAUCCUAAUUGAUUUGAUGUUUAGGUUAGUUUUGGGGUGGCUAUUUUUUGGAUCCGCUGCUGCCGUGCGCCGUGCGUCUGGAUCAGGCGCAGGUCGCCGCCAUAGGAGAGCAGGGUGGCGUGGUCUUUGUGGUGGGCAUGGAGCAAGGGAGGAUGAGGCGCUGGUAUGAGGAAAGGAGCACGAAGGUCGGAGUUCCAGGCGGUGCUGGCCGUCGUCACAUGUCCCCAGUCUAGAUCUAAGAAAAAAGAGAAGGGGAUGAAUCUGGAGGAAGAGCUUGGUGAAGAACAAGGUGUUCGUAAUGGCAACGGUGGUAAUCAACGAUGA